GACAUCUGAAGUGAAUCAAAGGUUUACCGCUAAGGGAUGGGGAUGCGUCUGAUUAGGCAGCAGGCGGGGUAACGGCCCACCUGGCCGACGAUCAGUAGGGGUUCUGAGAGGAAGGUCCCCCACAUUGGAACUGAGACACGGUCCAAACUCCUACGGGAGGCAGCAGUGAGGAAUAUUGGUCAAUGGUCGAGAGACUGAACCAGCCAAGUAGCGUGCAGGAUGACGGCCCUAUGGGUUGUAAACUGCUUUUAUGCGGGGAUAAAGUGAGGGACGUGUCCCUUUUUGUAGGUACCGCAUGAAUAAGGACCGGCUAAUUCCGUGCCAGCAGCCGCGGUAAUACGGAAGGUCCGGGCGUUAUCCGGAUUUAUUGGGUUUAAAGGGAGCGCAGGCGGAGGCUUAAGCGUGACGUGAAAUGUAGCCGCUCAACGGCUGAGUUGCGUCGCGAACUGGGUUUCUUGAGUGAGUGCGACGUCAGCGGAAUUCGUGGUGUAGCGGUGAAAUGCUUAGAUAUCACGAAGAACCCCGAUUGCGAAGGCAGCUGACGAGCCCUUUACUGACGCUAAAGCUCGAAGGUGCGGGU
RNAcentral lists this ribosomal RNA (580 nucleotides) under uncultured rumen bacterium. Its description in RNAcentral is "bacterial SSU rRNA". It matches the Rfam family "Bacterial small subunit ribosomal RNA", at positions 187 to 766 of the family's 1533-position model. The record is from RNAcentral.